This 424-nucleotide ribosomal RNA is filed under the name uncultured Planctomycetaceae bacterium. RNAcentral describes it as "partial 16S ribosomal RNA". It matches the Rfam family "Bacterial small subunit ribosomal RNA", at positions 355 to 774 of the family's 1533-position model. Lineage: Bacteria; Pseudomonadati; Planctomycetota; Planctomycetia; Planctomycetales; Planctomycetaceae. The record is from RNAcentral.
UCGAGAAUCUUCGGCAAUGAGCGCAAGCUUGACCGAGCGACGCCGCGUGCGGGAUGAAGGCCUUCGGGUUGUAAACCGCUGUCAGAGGGGACGAAAUGCUAGUGGGUACUCUCAUUAGCUUGACUGAUCCUCAAAGGAAGGGUGGGCUAAGUUCGUGCCAGCAGCCGCGGUAAGACGUACCACCCGAACGUUAUUCGGAUUUACUGGGCUUAAAGAGUCCGUAGGCGGCCAAGAAAGUUGGGUGUGAAAUACCUCGGCCUAACCGAGGAACUGCAUUCAAAACUACUUGGCUCGAGAGGGACAGAGGUGAGCGGAACUGAUGGUGGAGCGGUGAAAUGCGUUGAUAUCAUCAGGAACACCGGUGGCGAAAGCGGCUCACUGGGUCUUUUCUGACGCUCAGGGACGAAAGCUAGGGGAGCGAACG